Molecule: non-coding RNA, 47 nt
Organism: Biomphalaria glabrata
Lineage: Eukaryota; Metazoa; Mollusca; Gastropoda; Planorbidae
Source: Rfam
UAAAUGGUUUCAAUAGAAACCACAGCCUUUUUUUAGUCACGUGGUGU